This 303-nucleotide ribosomal RNA is filed under the name uncultured bacterium. Its description in RNAcentral is "partial 16S ribosomal RNA". It matches the Rfam family "Bacterial small subunit ribosomal RNA", at positions 507 to 807 of the family's 1533-position model. The record is from RNAcentral.
AGCAGUAGCCGCGGUAAUACGAAGGGGGCUAGCGUUGCUCGGAAUCACUGGGCGUAAAGGGUGCGUAGGCGGGUCUUUAAGUCAGGGGUGAAAUCCUGGAGCUCAACUCCAGAACUGCCUUUGAUACUGAAGAUCUUGAGUUCGGGAGAGGUGAGUGGAACUGCGAGUGUAGAGGUGAAAUUCGUAGAUAUUCGCAAGAACACCAGUGGCGAAGGCGGCUCACUGGCCCGAUACUGACGCUGAGGCACGAAAGCGUGGGGAGCAAACAGGAUUAGAUACCCCGGUAGUCCCUGUCUCUUAUAC